This 73-nucleotide transfer RNA is filed under the name Ailuropoda melanoleuca (giant panda). It matches the Rfam family "tRNA". From Rfam's summary of the family: Transfer RNA (tRNA) molecules are approximately 80 nucleotides in length. Their secondary structure includes four short double-helical elements and three loops (D, anti-codon, and T loops). Lineage: Eukaryota; Metazoa; Chordata; Mammalia; Carnivora; Ursidae. The record is from Rfam by way of RNAcentral.
UCCAGGCUGGCUCAGUUGGUGGAGCAGUCGACUUUUGAUCUGAGGGUCAUGGGUUCGAGCCCCAUGUUGGGCA